GGUGGUGCCGACCUGGUGGCGGCCCCGGUCUUCAAAACCGGUCGAGGUGCGUCGAGAGGCGAGGCCUGGUGGGUUCGAUUCCCAUGACCCGC
Molecule: transfer RNA, 92 nt
Filed under: marine eukaryotic metagenome
Description: Selenocysteine transfer RNA
Source: RNAcentral